RNAcentral lists this non-coding RNA (387 nucleotides) under Streptomyces afghaniensis 772. RNAcentral's name for it is "Bacterial large subunit ribosomal RNA". It matches the Rfam family "Bacterial large subunit ribosomal RNA", at positions 2238 to 2626 of the family's 2925-position model. Lineage: Bacteria; Bacillati; Actinomycetota; Actinomycetes; Kitasatosporales; Streptomycetaceae. The record is from Rfam by way of RNAcentral.
AUCCGGAUCAGGGACAGUGUCUGAUGGGUAGUUUAACUGGGGCGGUUGCCUCCUAAAGAGUAACGGAGGCGCCCAAAGGUUCCCUCAGCCUGGUUGGCAAUCAGGUGUUGAGUGUAAGUGCACAAGGGAGCUUGACUGUGAGACCGACGGGUCGAGCAGGGACGAAAGUCGGGACUAGUGAUCCGGCGGUGGCUUGUGGAAGCGCCGUCGCUCAACGGAUAAAAGGUACCCCGGGGAUAACAGGCUGAUCUUCCCCAAGAGUCCAUAUCGACGGGAUGGUUGGCACCUCGAUGUCGGCUCGUCGCAUCCUGGGGCUGGAGUCGGUCCCAAGGGUUGGCUGUUCGCCCAUUAAGCGGUACGCGAGCGUGGGUUUAGAACGUCGUGAGA